UAGGGAAUCUUCCGCAAUGGACGAAAGUCUGACGGAGCAACGCCGCGUGAGUGAAGAAGGAUUUCGGUUCGUAAAACUCUGUUGUUAGGGAAGAAAAAAUGUAUAGUAACUAUAUACAAAAGAGACGGUACCUAACCAGAAAGCCACGGCUAACUACGUGCCAGCAGCCGCGGUAAUACGUAGGUGGCAAGCGUUGUCCGGAAUUAUUGGGCGUAAAGCGCGCGCAGGUGGUUUAGAAAGUCUGAUGUGAAAGCCCACGGCUCAACCGUGGAGGGUCAUUGGAAACUAAUAAACUUGAGUGCAGGAGAGAAGAGUGGAAUUCCUCGUGUAGCGGUGAAAUGCGUAGAGAUUAGGAGGAACACCGGUGGCGAAAGCGGCUUUUUGGCCUGCAACUGACACUGAGGCGCGAAAGCGUGGGGAGCAAACAGG
Molecule: ribosomal RNA, 429 nt
Filed under: Verrucomicrobiota bacterium
Lineage: Bacteria; Pseudomonadati; Verrucomicrobiota
Description: Verrucomicrobia bacterium partial 16S ribosomal RNA
Rfam family: Bacterial small subunit ribosomal RNA
Source: RNAcentral